This 377-nucleotide ribosomal RNA is filed under the name uncultured bacterium. Its description in RNAcentral is "bacterial SSU rRNA". It matches the Rfam family "Bacterial small subunit ribosomal RNA", at positions 523 to 898 of the family's 1533-position model. The record is from RNAcentral.
AUACGAAGGGUGCAAGCGUUACUCGGAAUUACUGGGCGUAAAGCGUGCGUAGGUGGUUCGUUAAGUCUGAUGUGAAAGCCCUGGGCUCAACCUGGGAAUUGCAUUGGAUACUGGCGGGCUGGAGUGCGGUAGAGGAUGGCGGAAUUCCCGGUGUAGCAGUGAAAUGCGUAGAGAUCGGGAGGAACAUCCGUGGCGAAGGCGGCCAUCUGGACCAGCACUGACACUGAGGCACGAAAGCGUGGGGAGCAAACAGGAUUAGAUACCCUGGUAGUCCACGCCCUAAACGAUGCGAACUGGAUGUUGGGAGCAAUCAGGCUCUCAGUAUCGAAGCUAACGCGUUAAGUUCGCCGCCUGGGGAGUACGGUCGCAAGACUGAA